This is a non-coding RNA of Paramuricea clavata, 1056 nucleotides long. The record is from the annotation of a GenBank genome assembly. Lineage: Eukaryota; Metazoa; Cnidaria; Anthozoa; Malacalcyonacea; Plexauridae.
AGAACAUCCCUAGUUCAAGGAUUGUCUCAACUUGAUCGAGCAUCCGCUAUGUUGCAGCAUUGUGCCUCAUGUGUUGUUCAAAGUAACACAAUGUCACAUUGAAAGGUAGGAAUGGUCUUUCUUUCGUCGUCGGUAACAAUAAAUAUAGAAGAUAUUCCUGCACUCAAUUUAAAAGGAUUUGAGGUAAAUGAUAAGAGGUUCUUUGAAUGUCUCCUCCACAGGCAUCUUGUACUACAGGGCUUGCUUGGUUUGCAAUUUGCCCGCAACUAAAUUCUACCCGCCACUCUAAAGGCGAUGCCUGCGGAGAGGCUAUAAAUGUCUGUUAUCAGCAUAAAUUGAAGCCUAAAUAUUUGAGAGUGACAAACUUCUUCGCCCAUUUCAAUGUUGCUUUGUGCUGUAGCAUUGUUUAAUUCAAAUAUCGUACAUUCAAAUAUCGUACAAUGAGACAGUUUACGUUCUAGUGUCACGUUAUUUCGUUUAGAAAGAUAAUAGCCUUUCAACAUUGAAAUGGGGAAAGGAUGACUGUAGUGUCAGCUGUUAUUAAGAUAUUUUGUCAGUUCCAAAUUGCUGUUUCAUCGCCUGUUACCUGUCAGUUUGGAUUUUUUCAGUUGCCAAUGAAAACUGCAGGUACAUGUCACCAGUCAGUUGAUAGUGUGAACCAGCUUGUCAAAACUUUGAUAAGUACUUUUGGUAAAGGGGUUUUUUUCUUAAAAAUGCGUUGAACUAAUCCUUUGGACAAGGGUUUACACUUUACACUAUCACAUUACCUCAUUAUGGUGUAAAACACUUUGAUAGUACAAACAUGGAUAAUAAAAUAAAUGGAUAGGAAACUAGCUGACGUGACCUAAUGUUUUUACUGGGAUUGAUUGCGUGGUUGGAUGCCUCAACCUAGUUGAAAAUCAAAUUCUCAAAAACGGCAUGUUUAGCAAUAAUACAGCUAAACAUUUUAGUCAAAGAGCAAAUAAAUGUAACCACGCCAUUCUACGAUGAAAACUCUAAGUAUUCCCAGUCAAUUUUAGCAAAUAUUUCAAGCACCAAACAGUGAAAAAUACAUCG